GACGAACGCUGGCGGCGGGCCUAACACAUGCAAGUCGAACGGUAAGGCCGCAGCUAGCUGGGGUACACGAGUGGCGAACGGGUGAGGAACCCGUGGGUUACGUGUCCUGCACUUCGGGAUAAGCCUGGGAAACUUGGGCUAAUAGGGGAUAGGACUGCACCGCUUGGGAGCGGCGGAAAUCUAUUUCGGUGUUGGAUGGGGCUGCGGCCUAUCCGCUUGCUCGUGGGGUAAUGGACUACCAAGGCGGCGACGCGUCGCCGGGCCGAGGGGGUGGACGGCCCCAUUGGGACGGGGACGAGACCCAGACUACUACGGGAGGCAGCGGUGGAGUAUAGUACACAAUGGGAGGAGGCAUAGUGCAGCGACGCCGCGUGGGGGAUGACGGCCUUCGGGUUGUAAACUCCUUUUCUCUUCGACGAAGGGUUUCUGACGGUAGAUGGAGAAGAAGCCCCGGCUAACUACGUG
Molecule: ribosomal RNA, 465 nt
Filed under: uncultured bacterium
Lineage: Bacteria
Description: partial 16S ribosomal RNA
Rfam family: Bacterial small subunit ribosomal RNA
Source: RNAcentral